RNAcentral lists this long non-coding RNA (226 nucleotides) under Setaria viridis. RNAcentral's name for it is "long non-coding RNA (SVIR_LNC004716)". Lineage: Eukaryota; Viridiplantae; Streptophyta; Magnoliopsida; Poales; Poaceae. The record is from RNAcentral.
UGUACCCUCAUAGAUUGAGAGCUGUAGGAAUCUAGUCUUUUGUUGUACUCCUCAGCAACCUAAGUUUUGGAUAGUGAUGUAAUAGGUUAGCCUUGAGUUGAGUUUUCUCCUGUGUUUUGGGGAACAACAAUGCAAUGACCUCAGUGAAAUCAGACCUUAACUUGACCUUUGACUCUUCGUGCGACACGCCUUGGAUGCUAAGUUGUGUGAGUUUGUGCUGUGACCA